Molecule: ribosomal RNA, 386 nt
Filed under: uncultured Nitrospina sp.
Lineage: Bacteria; Pseudomonadati; Nitrospinota; Nitrospinia; Nitrospinales; Nitrospinaceae
Description: bacterial SSU rRNA
Rfam family: Bacterial small subunit ribosomal RNA
Source: RNAcentral
ACGAACGCUGGCGGCAUGCUUAACACAUGCAAGUCGAACGAGAAAGCUUCUUCGGAAGUGAUUAAAGUGGCGCACGGGUGAGUAACGCGUAGACAAUCUGCCCUUCAGUCCGGGAUAACAUGGUGAAAACUAUGCUAAUACCGGAUAAGACCACAUUUCAUAAGAAAUGCGGUAAAAGGAGUCUCAAUCUUCACUUGAGGAUGAGUUCGCGCAACAUUAGCUUGUUGGUGAGAUAAAAGCUCACCAAGGCUACGAUGUUUAGCCGGCCUGAGAGGGUGAACGGCCACACUGGAACUGAGACACGGUCCAGACUCCUACGGGAGGCAGCAGUGGGGAAUAUUGCGCAAUGGGCGAAAGCCUGACGCAGCAACGCCGUGUGAGCGAUG